UGUUCCUGGAGAAGAGAUCCUGGCAGAUUUGGGGGUGUGCCUGGGGUGGAGAAAUCCUGUAGGACUGACCGACUUGAGACAGGAGACACUCCUCACUACAAUUUCUGGCUUGUGAGCUACAAUCUGACUUCGAGGCCACCAGAGUUUAGAUACUGGCUACCCAGUAAGAACAAUUAUGCUCAUUUGUCAACAUAUUAUCAGAUCGCUGUGUGCCUCCAACAUGUCAGACUCCAAGCCUGAUCUGACUCUAAGGUGAAGGUGGUGUCAGAGAUAUCGGGGCGGCACCCAAGCACUUAGGAUUCCAGAGAAGAACUCUCAGAGAGGCAGCGGCACCUGAAUACCUUGACAAAUCCUUAUUUGACCUUUUGUGGGGAGAGCUUGAGUUCAUCUCGGUUUGUCAAGGCCUGCCUGGUGACCCUCUCAUGUGCCUUCUCCAGCCCUGCUCCCAUAGUUGUCAGAAUCACGAAUACUGACUCACCAUGAGAGGUCCUUUCCCUGGAGACAGAUGUGCAGGGCUCAGAGCCGGAGCAAGGCACAGUUAAGGCUCCGCCACACCCCUGGGGGCUGAGCCUACCUGUACUCUCUCAUUGAUUGCCUACCUGUCUGUCAGUCCCUUUGCUAGCCCAGAGCUCUUUUUUGUCACCUAGCACCUGGGAGUCUGGGGUGGAUACUUAGCAUAGCUGGGAUGUCCCUCCUUGACAAGGCUCCCCUUUUCACAGUGACUGGAAACAUGCCCAGGCUGAGAGCCUUGUUGGAGAGAGGGAAGGUGUGAGCAUGGCCUGGUCAGUGGGCAGAGAGGGUGUCCAGGGAGAGCUCAUGACUCUGGAACUGUGGAAAGCUGGGUUACACCCACCCUCCUUUGCAGGGCAACCGUGUAGAGGCAGUAGGAUGAAGAGUCUAUACAGCUGCCCUUCCUCUCGGAGUGGGCCUCAAGCCUUCCCAGCAGGGCUCUCAGGCCCUGUUGCCCCACCAGCCUCAAGGCACAAAGUCCAGUGGGGUGAUUUUGUCAUCUCUUCCCAUGGCAGCCUUAAAGGGCCAGUGCUUUCCAGAGGGUUAAUAAUUACCUGUUAGGUCACCAGCAGCCCCAGAAGGUGGUAUCCGUGAAGAUGAGUGUGUGGGUGGGUAUAAGGAGGUGACAGAGCAGUCGCCUGGCCCUAGGCAAGGCUGGAGGCUUCCUUGGAAUUCAUCCCCUCAGGGGCUAUCUCUACCCCAGAGCUGUGCUCUCUGGCCGUGAGCCAUGAAGAGGAUUUCGUGUGUUUAAUGGCAGAGAGCCCAGAGAACUUGUGAGCUCCGAGGGAGAGUAAAGUCUAGGGUGCCGCCCCUCACUCUGACAAGAGAGCAAUCCAAAGAAAAAUCGUGCCAGGCCUGGGAUGCGCACCAUGGAAGGGUGAUGCCCAGGCAAGUGGGGUUGUAUCUUAGGGCCCGAGGAAAGUAGGCAUUGCUACUUACAGCCUGCAUUCACACCAUCGCUAGGCUCGGAGGUCCCCUGUCUCCCGCUCACCUCACAGGCUCCUCUUUUCCCUGCUCUCCAUCUCCGGUCCUUAGCCUUAGGAAGCAGGGUGACAAGGACUAAUAGUGCUGGGCAUGUUAUGUAGCCCAUACAGUAGGUUUGUGGAGAAGGUAUUCCUCUCAACGCUUUGGUCACUGUGAUGAGCCCUGUCCUUCCCAUGUCCCCAACAGGACCGGCUCGGUUGACCUUCCAGUGAGCUUUUGAGGGCUAUCACAUCCAGCCCACAUCCCCUUCUCUUCCUCCUCGUAAGAAUCUGGCCGCUCUGAGCUCAUCCAGUCUGGACCAUCAGCCCCUGCCUGGCCUGCUAUGUCCAUAGCCUCUCUGUAGUCAGACCAAGGCCUCUGACAGCCCUGGAGGAGGGGAGGGGAUGGAGAGGGUGACAUGAACAAGAAGGCGGGCACGAGAAGGAUGUCAGUCUCAGGCCCUUUCCUGCUUUUGAUCGAGAGAGUUCAUCACAACGUCUGAGUGUUCAAAUAAAAAUAUUGCUGCAA
This is a long non-coding RNA of Mesocricetus auratus (golden hamster), 2001 nucleotides long. RefSeq lists it as uncharacterized. Lineage: Eukaryota; Metazoa; Chordata; Mammalia; Rodentia; Cricetidae. The transcript is spliced from 2 exons. The record is from RefSeq and is a predicted model, not a curated record.